Molecule: ribosomal RNA, 367 nt
Filed under: Porroecia sp. USNM IZ 1448948
Lineage: Eukaryota; Metazoa; Arthropoda; Ostracoda; Halocyprida; Halocyprididae
Description: SSU rRNA
Rfam family: Eukaryotic small subunit ribosomal RNA
Source: RNAcentral
UACAAGCCGUUGUAAGGUGAAACCGCGAACAGCUCAUUAAAUCAGUCUCGGUUUACUAGACGGAAGGGCGACCGUAGAUGGAUAACUGCGGAAAUCCUGGAGCUAAUACAUGCCAUUGACGCCGCGACGGUCUAACGACCGAAGCGCAGCCUUUAUUAGACCGUACCGGAGAUUCUCGUCCGCGAAAAUCUCCUCCGGUGACUCCGGGUAACCGACAGUGGAUCGCAAGGCCUACGAGCCCGCGACGCAUCUUUCAAGGGUCUGCCUCAUCAACUAGACGGUUCGCAAAACGCCGACCGUGGUGGCGACGGGUGACGGAGAAUUAGGGUUCGAUUCCGGAGAGGGAGCCUGAGAGAUCGCUACCACA